UACGUAGGGGGCAAGCGUUGUCCGGAUUUAUUGGGCGUAAAGAGCGUGUAGGCGGCCCGACAGGUCCGUUGUGAAAACUCGAGGCUCAACCUCGAGAUGUCGAUGGAAACCGUCUGGCUAGAGUCCGGAAGAGGAGUGUGGAAUUCCUGGUGUAGCGGUGAAAUGCGCAGAUAUCAGGAAGAACACCUAUGGCGAAGGCAGCACUCUGGGACGGUACUGACGCUGAGACGCGAAAGCGUGGGGAGCGAACAGG
This 253-nucleotide ribosomal RNA is filed under the name uncultured bacterium. Its description in RNAcentral is "partial 16S ribosomal RNA". It matches the Rfam family "Bacterial small subunit ribosomal RNA", at positions 524 to 776 of the family's 1533-position model. The record is from RNAcentral.